UAGUCCACGCCGUAAACGAUGGUUACUAGCUGUUCGGUACUUGUACUGAGUGGCUAAGCGAAAGUGAUAAGUAACCCACCUGGGGAGUACGUUCGCAAGAAUGAAACUCAAAGGAAUUGACGGGGGCCCGCACAAGCGGUGGAGCAUGUGGUUUAAUUCGAUGAUACGCGAGGAACCUUACCAGGGCUUAAAUGUAGUGGGACAGGUGUGGAAACACGCCCUUCUUCGGACUCAUUACAAGGUGCUGCAUGGUUGUCGUCAGCUCGUGCCGUGAGGUGUCAGGUUAAGUCCUAUAACGAGCGCAACCCCUGUUGUUAGUUGCCAGCACAUUAUGGUGGGAACUCUAACAAGACUGCCGGUGCAAACCGUGAGGAAGGUGGGGAUGACGUCAAAUCAUCACGGCCCUUACGUCCUGGGCUACACACGUGCUACAAUGGCCGGUACAGAGAGUCGCAAACUAGUGAUAGUGAGCUAAUCUUCAAACCCUAUCUCAGUUCGGAUCGGAGUCUGCAACUCG
Molecule: ribosomal RNA, 517 nt
Filed under: uncultured bacterium
Lineage: Bacteria
Description: bacterial SSU rRNA
Rfam family: Bacterial small subunit ribosomal RNA
Source: RNAcentral